GACGAACGCUGGCGGCGUGCUUAACACAUGCAAGUCGAACGGAAAGGCCCUGCUUUUGUGGGGUGCUCGAGUGGCGAACGGGUGCGUAACACGUGAGUAACCUGCCCUUGUCUUUGGGAUAACUUCAGGAAACUGGGGCUAAUAUCGGAUAGGAGCUCCUGCUGCAUGGUGGGGGUUGGAAAGUUUCGGCGGUUGGGGAUGGACUCGCGGCUUAUCAGCUUGUUGGUGGGGUAGUGGCUUACCAAGGCUUUGACGGGUAGCCGGCCUGAGAGGGUGACCGGCCACAUUGGGACUGAGAUACGGCCCAGACUCCUACGGGAGGCAGCAGUGGGGAAUAUUGCACAAUGGGCGGAAGCCUGAUGCAGCAACGCCGCGUGCGUGAUGACGGCCUUCGGGUUGUAAACCGCUUUCGCCUGUGACGAAGCGGGAGUGACGGUAAUGGGUAAAGAAGCACCGACUAACUACGUG
RNAcentral lists this ribosomal RNA (468 nucleotides) under uncultured bacterium. RNAcentral describes it as "partial 16S ribosomal RNA". It matches the Rfam family "Bacterial small subunit ribosomal RNA", at positions 28 to 507 of the family's 1533-position model. The record is from RNAcentral.